GCUUGGGAAUAUGCCUUAUGGUGGGGGACAACAGUUGGAAACGACUGCUAAUACCCCAUAUGCCGAAAGGUGAAAGGAUGUAUCCACCUUAGGAAGAGCUCGCGUCUGAUUAGCUAGUUGGUGAGAUAAAAGCUCACCAAGGCCAUGAUCAGUAGCUGGUUUGAGAGGACGAUCAGCCACACUGGGACUGAGACACGGCCCAGACUCCUACGGGAGGCAGCAGUGGGGAAUUUUCCGCAAUGGGCGAAAGCCUGACGGAGCAAUACCGCGUGAGGGAUGAAGGCCUGUGGGUCGUAAACC
This 300-nucleotide ribosomal RNA is filed under the name uncultured bacterium. Its description in RNAcentral is "bacterial SSU rRNA". It matches the Rfam family "Bacterial small subunit ribosomal RNA", at positions 115 to 431 of the family's 1533-position model. The record is from RNAcentral.